This 68-nucleotide transfer RNA is filed under the name Ovis aries (sheep). It matches the Rfam family "tRNA". Rfam says of the family: Transfer RNA (tRNA) molecules are approximately 80 nucleotides in length. Their secondary structure includes four short double-helical elements and three loops (D, anti-codon, and T loops). Further hydrogen bonds mediate the characteristic L-shaped molecular structure. tRNAs have two regions of fundamental functional importance: the anti-codon, which is responsible for specific mRNA codon recognition, and the 3' end, to which the tRNAs corresponding amino acid is attached (by aminoacyl-tRNA synthetases). tRNAs cope with the degeneracy of the genetic code in two manners: having more than one tRNA (with a specific anti-codon) for a particular amino acid; and 'wobble' base-pairing, i.e. permitting non-standard base-pairing at the 3rd anti-codon position. Lineage: Eukaryota; Metazoa; Chordata; Mammalia; Artiodactyla; Bovidae. The record is from Rfam by way of RNAcentral.
CCUGGUGGCUCAGAUGGUAAAGCGUCUGCCUGCAAUGCAGGAGACCAGGUUUGAUCCCUGGGUCAGGA